ACUCCUACGGGAGGCAGCAGUAGGGAAUCUUCCACAAUGGGCGCAAGCCUGAUGGAGCAACACCGCGUGAGUGAAGAAGGGUUUCGGCUCGUAAAGCUCUGUUGUUAAAGAAGAACACGUAUGAGAGUAACUGUUCAUACGUUGACGGUAUUUAACCAGAAAGUCACGGCUAACUACGUGCCAGCAGCCGCGGUAAUACGUAGGUGGCAAGCGUUAUCCGGAUUUAUUGGGGCGUAAAGAGAGUGCAGGCGGUUUUCUAAGUCUGAUGUGAAAGCCUUCGGCUUAACCGGAGAAGUGCAUCGGAAACUGGAUAACUUGAGUGCAGAAGAGGGUAGUGGAACUCCAUGUGUAGCGGUGGAAUGCGUAGAUAUAUGGAAGAACACCAGUGGCGAAGGCGGCUACCUGGUCUGCAACUGACGCUGAGACUCGAAAGCAUGGGUAGCGAACAGGAUUAGAUACCCUGGUAGGAUAGCC
Molecule: ribosomal RNA, 474 nt
Filed under: uncultured bacterium
Lineage: Bacteria
Description: bacterial SSU rRNA
Rfam family: Bacterial small subunit ribosomal RNA
Source: RNAcentral